UACGUAGGGACCAAGCGUUGUUCGGAUUUACUGGGCGUAAAGGGCGCGUAGGCGGCGUGUUAAGUCAGCUGUGAAAUCUCCGAGCUUAACUCGGAACGGUCAGCUGAUACUGAUGUGCUAGAGUGCAGAAGGGGCAAUCGGAAUUCUUGGUGUAGCGGUGAAAUGCGUAGAUAUCAAGAGGAACACCUGAGGUGAAGACGGGUUGCUGGGCUGACACUGACGCUGAGGCGCGAAAGCUAGGGGAGCAAACGGG
This 253-nucleotide ribosomal RNA is filed under the name uncultured bacterium. RNAcentral's name for it is "partial 16S ribosomal RNA". It matches the Rfam family "Bacterial small subunit ribosomal RNA", at positions 524 to 776 of the family's 1533-position model. The record is from RNAcentral.